Molecule: ribosomal RNA, 252 nt
Filed under: uncultured prokaryote
Description: partial 16S rRNA
Rfam family: Archaeal small subunit ribosomal RNA
Source: RNAcentral
ACCGGCAGCUCAAGUGGUGGCCAUUUUUAUUGGGCCUAAAGCGUUCGUAGCCGGUUUGAUAAGUCUCUGGUGAAAUCCCGCAGCUUAACUGUGGGACUUGCUGGAGAUACUAUUAGACUUGAGGUCGGGAGAGGUUAGGGGUACUCCCAGGAAGGGGGUUAAAUCCUACAAUCCUGGCGGGAAGUACCGAGGGCCAGGCGCCUGAACCGGACGAACCUCACCUUGAGUACCGUAAGCCAGGAGCGCCAAUGG